AUUGAACGCUGGCGGCAUGCCUAACACAUGCAAGUCGAACGGUAACAGGCCCUUCGGGGCGCUGACGAGUGGCGGACGGGUGAGUAAUGCUUAGGAAUCUGCCUAGUAGUGGGGGAUAACCCGGGAAACUCGGGCUAAUACCGCAUACGUCCUACGGGAGAAAGCGGGGGACCGUUCGGGCCUCGCGCUAUUAGAUGAGCCUAAGUCCGAUUAGCUAGUUGGUAGGGUAACGGCCUACCAAGGCGACGANCGGUAGCUGGUCUGAGAGGACGACCAGCCACACUGGGACUGAGACACGGCCCAGACUCCUACGGGAGGCAGCAGUGGGGAAGUAUUGGACAAUGGGCGCAAGCCUGAUCCAGCGAUGCCGCGUGUG
Molecule: ribosomal RNA, 376 nt
Filed under: uncultured bacterium
Lineage: Bacteria
Description: bacterial SSU rRNA
Rfam family: Bacterial small subunit ribosomal RNA
Source: RNAcentral